GGGCGGGUGGUGAAAUGGAAAACACGAUAGAUUUAAAAUCUAUUGGUCGCAAGGCCUUGAGGGUUCAAGUCCCUCCCUGCCCACCA
This 86-nucleotide transfer RNA is filed under the name Candidatus Omnitrophota bacterium. RNAcentral describes it as "Candidatus Omnitrophica bacterium tRNA-Leu". It matches the Rfam family "tRNA". From Rfam's summary of the family: Transfer RNA (tRNA) molecules are approximately 80 nucleotides in length. Their secondary structure includes four short double-helical elements and three loops (D, anti-codon, and T loops). The record is from RNAcentral. Lineage: Bacteria; Pseudomonadati; Candidatus Omnitrophota.